Puntigrus tetrazona (Sumatra barb) is the source of this 563-nucleotide long non-coding RNA. RefSeq lists it as uncharacterized. The transcript is spliced from 2 exons. Lineage: Eukaryota; Metazoa; Chordata; Actinopteri; Cypriniformes; Cyprinidae. The record is from RefSeq and is a predicted model, not a curated record.
CGACCGACGUACGCCACGCAGAAGGUCGGCUCGAGCGCGCGCGGCGGUGGAGCGUCUCAAAGAAAUUAAUUGAAGGUAUCCCGAUUUUUUUGUAUUACUUUUCUCAGUCAUAACAUUGUCUGCCGUGUAAAUCUACCGUAAGAUCCUGAAACGGAGCGGAGUUAGAGAAACGUUUGUUCUCGCGCGACAGGAGCACGUGGCGAGGGCGCGCGCGCGAGAAUAAUACAGCGUGCUUCUGACGAAAUCCUGGUGCUUUAGGAAACCUGUGGAUCGUAACUGGCUGGUUCUGGCCGUGCACACAACUAGAGCCCCGCGCUGCUCGUCGUGUAAUGCGGGGUGUAGGAUGUGUGCUACAGUACAGCAGGAUCUCUGCCUUCCGCUCUCCGUCUCCUGAGAGCAGACACGCUUUAUGAUCCUGCUACAGCUUCAUUCGAGCUGCUGCUGUUGGGUGUUAAGACGAAGCGGAAGUUCUGGAGAGCACGUGAAGAGAUCAUUUCGACGGAGCACAUGCCAGCAGAUAAAGAGCAACAAAACGCUUGCAAAUAAAGUCUUCACUCAGUUUA